RNAcentral lists this ribosomal RNA (579 nucleotides) under uncultured bacterium. RNAcentral's name for it is "bacterial SSU rRNA". It matches the Rfam family "Bacterial small subunit ribosomal RNA", at positions 102 to 668 of the family's 1533-position model. The record is from RNAcentral.
ACGGGUGAGUAACACGUAGGCAACCUGCCCUCAAGCUUGGGACAACUACCGGAAACGGUAGCUAAUACCGAAUACUUGUUUUCUUCGCCUGAAGGAAACUGGAAAGACGGAGCAAUCUGUCACUUGAGGAUGGGCCUGCGGCGCAUUAGCUAGUUGGUGAGGUAACGGCUCACCAAGGCGACGAUGCGUAGCCGACCUGAGAGGGUGAUCGGCCACACUGGGACUGAGACACGGCCCAGACUCCUACGGGAGGCAGCAGUAGGGAAUCUUCCGCAAUGGGCGAAAGCCUGACGGAGCAAUGCCGCGUGAGUGAUGAAGGUUUUCGGAUCGUAAAGCUCUGUUGCCAGGGAAGAACGCUUAGGAGAGUAACUGCUCCUGAGGUGACGGUACCUGAGAAGAAAGCCCCGGCUAACUACGUGCCAGCAGCCGCGGUAAUACGUAGGGGGCAAGCGUUGUCCGGAAUUAUUGGGCGUAAAGCGCGCGCAGGCGGUCAUUUAAGUCUGGUGUUUAAUCCCGGGGCUCAACCCCGGAUCGCACUGGAAACUGGGUGACUUGAGUGCAGAAGAGGAGAGUGGAAUU